This 3821-nucleotide unclassified non-coding RNA is filed under the name Hevea brasiliensis (rubber tree). Lineage: Eukaryota; Viridiplantae; Streptophyta; Magnoliopsida; Malpighiales; Euphorbiaceae. The record is from RNAcentral.
GUUGAUCUUUUCAGGCGCUUGGCAUUCGCAUCAUGUUUGGAUGGCGGUCUGGGAGUUCAAAACUGUCAAAUGCCUUGUCUAUUGUGGAGCUUUCGGUUCAUAUGGAUUGCGAAGGAUGCAAAAAGAGGAUAAGAAGAGCAAUCUCAAAAAUGAACGGCAAGAGUUUAAUCAAAAUACACAGCAUCCUCAAUGAUGAUAAUUCUAAAUCCUAAGUUUAACUUAGCAUCUUGCAGGUGUCGAUAGCUUGGAGAUAGACAUGGAUAAGCAAAAGGUAACCGUAACAGGAUAUGUGGACCAGAGAAAGGUCCUCAAGGUUGUGAGGAGAACAGGAAGAAGGGCCGAGUUUUGGCCAUUCCCCUACGACAGUGAAUAUUAUCCUUACGCAUCUCAGUACUUAGAUGAAAGCACCUACACAACUUCCUAUAACUACUACAUGCACGGUUUCAAUGAAAGCGUACAUGGAUACUUUCCAGAUCAAGCAUACUGCACUGUUGAUGAUAAUACAGUUCACCUUUUCAGUGAAGACAACGUUCAUGCCUAUUGUAGCAUUAUGUGAUCUAAAAAACCAUAAAGUUACGUGCCAAAGCUUCUAACUUGGUCAUUUUAAUGCCAGAGAAUAACAGCUAAAAUAUACAAGAAUAUAGCAUAUAGUUAUCGACAUGUCCAAGACAGAUAUUUUACCAUAAUAACAAGAAAAAUUAAAUUCCUAUUUGGCCAUUGCCUUCAGCACAUGAUAGUUUCCUAUUGUCCAAAUCUGUCUUUGAAACCCAGUACGCUGUACUCGUUAAUUUAGAGUUGCUCGCCUUAAACACACCAUUCCUAACUACUUGUUGAUACACUAUGGCAUGGCUUACUUGAUGUGUAAUUAAUAUCUUUAGUGUCUUGGAAGCUGAUGUUUGAUAACUCGUCGAUCAUUAUCCAACUCAAAAUUGGCCGCAGAAAAAUCAGUACUGGAAAAGAAGGGGUUUAGAUCACUGAUUCCGCGUUCUUCCGCCAUGCUUUGCAAAUCCUCAACUUUCACAUCAAUGUGGGCAAGCCCUGAAAUAGAGCCAGACAUAAUUUCUUCAAAGCGCAGUGCUCUGUUCACAAGCUCUUGCAGAAGAUUGAGAAGCAUUCUAUUGUAGUCCAUCUUGUAAGUGAUGUACUUUCUGAAACUCUUUUGCAGAGCUCUUUGCACCCCAUAUUUUUGUGUUGAAAUGAAGGAAUUUAGCAGAACACGUAUUGCCAUGUCCACAUCUUCUUCUGUGACAUGCUGUCUGAGGUGCAUUCGGGCAUGUGCUUCAGACAUCCUUAUCAUUGAUUCGAUGUGCCUCACUGCAAUAGGAACUCCUUGUCCAUGCGAAGAUUCUCUCCGUAGUUCAGCAUAAACUUGUGUUAGUUUUUCCAUAUCAGAAUUAUGCAACCUUGGGAAUACAUUCAACUUAGCAUAAGUUAAGUAUUUUUUCAGCAAAUCUUGAGGAAGAAUCUCUGGAUCAGUGGGCCUAGCAGAGGCUUGGAUUCCAUCCUGGGACUCACUGAAGGACCGAUCAUCUAUAUUAGUACCCUUGGGUUGUGACUUGAAAUGACUAUCAACUACAAACCUUGCAAGCAUCUCAUCUGCAACAGGAUCAACCACAUCCUUAACAACACAGAGGAUGUCAAAACGAGAAAUGAUAGGAUCAGUCAACUCAACAUUUUGUGAAAAUGUUUUUGAGGAAUCAUAUCUUCCCCCAACAGGAUUUGCAGCAGCAAUGACAGAACAGCGAGCCUGCAGAGAAGUAACAAUCCCUGCCUUUGAUAUGCUGAUACUCUGCUGCUCCAUUGCUUCAUGGAUACUCACUCUGUCCUGAUCAUUCAUCUUGUCAAACUCAUCAAUGAGACAGAUACCCUUAUCAGCUAAAACAAGGGCCCCUCCUUCAAGGGUCCACUCUCUUGUCACUGGAUCCUUGUGCACUGCUGCUGUUAGACCUACAGCUGAAGCUCCUUUACCAGUAGUAUACACAGCCCUCUGCCCAGUCUUCUCAACAUACUUCAAAAAUUGAGAUUUUGCUGUGCCUGGAUCACCUAGGAGAAGUACAUUGAUGUCUCCUCGAAGCCGAUGCUUCCCUUCAACAUUUUUCUCUUGGCCUCCAAACAUGGCAAGAGCUAUUGCCGUUUUUAUGUCUUCAUGGCCAUAGAUUGAAGGCGCAACUGACUUGAUAAUCCUUUCUCCUAUUCUUGGAUCUUUAGCAAGCUUUUCAAUUUCUUCUUUAUCCUCCUGUGUAAGUUUGUAAGCAGAAAAGAGGUCCUGCUUCUUUGUUACAUAAUUUGCUUCAAUGACAGUGGCAAAGACAGGGAAUCCAUUCUUUGUGUUCAAUGAUAAGUCAAAAUUAUUUGUAUAUAUGCCAGUGACCUCCUGAAACAUAUCACAACAAAAUAGCAGAGGACAUGAGGAAAUAUCUAUCAAGAAACAAAUAAACAAGCAGCGAGUGCAAGAAAAGGAUUCUACAAUCUCUUCCCCAGGGCGAGCACAAUCAAUCAAAUCAUUCAACAGUAUCACUUCUUUGUAUCUUGGAAGCCGACCAGCAGGCACAAUUCCUGGGCUUUCCUGGAGCGUAAGUUUCUGGUAAUUUCUGUAAAUUGUCUGCUCAAUAUUAACAGUGAAUGGUCCUUUUGACUGGCAUUCAGGGCAAGAACCAACCUUGACUUCUGAAUAAGAAUUCUGAAAGAAUGGCCCUAAAAUUGCUCCACACUUGUUGCAAUCAUAUUUUACCUGCUGCAACUGUGGGAAUACACCAGAACGUCUGGUCACAACUCCUCCAAUUCGAAUCAUGGUGUUUAAAUGGAUCUGCCUAAUGUUUCGGAUCUGAUCAUAAACAGGUAAGCUAGUAACACGAACAUAUAUCUUUUGAUGGAUAUUCUUAUAGUUUGGAUGUAAAUUGAAGACAACAUUUCUGGCAACUUCUUCCAUAACUUCUAGGACAGAUUGAGGUGCAUCAGCAAGCCAGAUGGCAAUAUUUGGGUGUACAUAGAUGAAUUGUUUGUAAUCAAUCUCCAAGCUACAUUUAUUAGCUGCCACCAUCUCAUUAAUUAGACGUACAUAUUCAAAAUCUCCAUGUCCAUUCUUAGGAUUCACAUAUGUAAGUAGGAAUUCCUUGAACUUCUUGGCAAUAAAUCGACGCACUUCAUCUCUGGUAACCCACUCUCUAAGGGUUCCUUGGACUCGAUACAUCUCAAACUCGCCUUCAUCACCAUCUUCAUCCUCAUAAGGAUAAUCAUCAGUUUGAUCAGUCAUAGGCACAUCCUCCCUUGAAUGUCCCUGUUGUGAUCUUCCAGGUGAGCUUUGCAUACCAUCAGUAUCAUCAUAGCUUCUUUGAGAAGCUGGAGGCCUGAAAUCAGCUCUGGACCUCUUUGAAGGCCUAUAGCUGUCAUCGUCAGUAUCAUGGUCGUGGAGGAGUUGAGGAAGCUUGCGAUCAGUGAGGCGGGCAUCACGGGUAUCGAGUUCCAAAUCAGCAGCCCUUCGAUCCUGCAUAAUUUGAUCCAAAUCCCUCUCAUCCUCCAGGGAGUCAUCCAAACCAACCGACUCGUACUGGUCGUGUUCAUCCAUCCUCCGAUAGUCAUCCAAAAAAUUAUCGUUAUAUAGGUCCUCUCCUUCUUCCUCCUCUUCGGGUUCAUCGGGCUCAUCUCGGAUAAUUUGGGGAUCGACGGCAGCCUCAUCGUCGUCGGUGAAGUUCUCGGAAGUCCGGCUGGUGUUAGGAGGGAGCUGAUCUGUGUUGAAGCCAGCAGAUGUUGGCGAAUCAGGAGUGGAAGGUGGAUUUUCUGAAUUAGCAGAAGCCAUUUCUUCUGUUGAGGUUUUGGCGCGG